This is a long non-coding RNA of Mizuhopecten yessoensis (Yesso scallop), 1373 nucleotides long. RefSeq lists it as uncharacterized. Lineage: Eukaryota; Metazoa; Mollusca; Bivalvia; Pectinida; Pectinidae. The transcript is spliced from 3 exons. The record is from RefSeq and is a predicted model, not a curated record.
AGAUGUAAAACCUUUAAAAUCCUUCUUCUACCAUAGGGAUUAAGAGAUUUUAUCCAUAUUUAAUAUUGAAAACAAGAAAUUAACUAGUCUUCAGCUUAGCACUGCUAUCUCUUGUUAAUCUUGAAUGAUCAUAAAACAAAUUUUUAAUUGCAAAUGUACAGAAUGCUAAUCAUGAUACUGAGCUUCAUUGUUCGUCCAAAUAUGUUUUCUUUCACAUUAUGAUUUCCACUGCAUCAUGCAUGACAUUGACGUUUGAGGACACUGAUCAGGUGACGUUUGAGGACACUGAUCAGGUGACGUUGGAGGACACUAAUCAGAUCAGGUGACGUAGGAGGACACUGAUCAGGUGACGUUGGAGGACACUGAUCAGGUGACGUUGGAGGACACUGAUCAGAUUUGGUGACGUAGGAGGACACUGAUCAGAUCAGGUGACGUUUGAGGACACUGAUCAGGUGACGUUGGAGGACACUGAUCAGGUGACGUUGGAGGACACUGAUCAGGUGACGUUGGAGGACACUGAUCAGAUGACGUUGGAGGACACUGAUCAGAUUUGGUGACGUAGGAGGACACUGAUCCGAUCAGGUGACGUUGGAGGACACUGAUCAGGUGACGUUGGAGGACACUGAUCAGGUGACGUUGGAGGACACUGAUCAGGUGACGUUGGAGGACACUGAUCAGAUGACGUUGGAGGACACUGAUCAGAUUUGGUGACGUAGGAGGACACUGAUCAGAUCAGGUGACGUUGGAGGACACUGAUCAGGUGACGUUGGAGGACACUGAUCAGGUGACGUUGGAGGACACUGAUCAGAUCAGGUGACGUUGGAGGACACUGAUCAGGUGACGUUGUAGGACACUGAUCAGGUGCAAUACUUCAAAAGCAUAUUUACCUAGCGGUAAUCAUAAUAUAGGUGGCGAUAUUUAUUUUUGUGUUUUGAAACUGUGAACAGUCACAGGUAUGUACUGUACAUGUAUUCAGAUGAAUUGAUUUAUGUGUCACAUAUGUACAGAUCAACUCAUUUGCAAGAAAAAAAUUGAUGAGAAAAUGCCCAUGGAUGAUGCUUUAUGGCAUAUCCAUAAUAUAUAUGUUACCUUUGAGUGACCUAAAUAUUGGGCUAUCGGCAAGUUGCAGCUGAACAUAUGUUCCCCUAGCCUACUUAAAUAUUUGUUGUUCAUCAGUGUGUAUAACAUGAUUUUAAUGUGCACUUUAUUUUGUAAACUAUGCAUGUAGGUUUUAUUAGGUCGUCUGAGACAAAGUCUCAAGUGACCUAUUGCGAUUUUUGUCCGGUAUCCGGCGUCCGGCAUCCGUCCGUAAACAAUUUACAUUUGCCUUCUUCUCCAAAACCCCUGAACCAAUUUCAAUGAAAUUUUGCAGA